AGCAGCCGCGGUAAUUCCAGCUCCAAUAGCGUACAUUAAAGUUGUUGCAGUUAAAAAGCUCGUAGUUGAAUUUCGGGAUUGGCGCAUCGGUCGUGCCUUACGGGGUAUGAACUGGUGCAGUCAAUUUCUCACCUUCUGGAGAACCGCGAUGUCCUUAAUUGGAUGCCGCGGGGAACCAGGACCUUUACUUUGAAAAAAUUAGAGUGUUUAAAGCAGGCAUUUUUGCUUGAAUACAUUAGCAUGGAAUAAUAAAAUAGGACGGCAUGGUUCUAUUUUGUUGGUUUCUAGGACCACCGUAAUGAUUAAUAGGGAUAGUUGGGGGCAUUAGUAUUCAAUUGUCAGAGGUGAAAUUCUUGGAUUUAUUGAAGACUAACUACUGCGAAAGCAUUUGCCAAGGAUGUUUUCAUUAAUCAAGAACGAAAGUUAGGGGAUCGAAGACGAUCAGGUACCGUCGUAGUCUUAACCAUAAACUAUGCCGACUAGGAAUCAGACGAUGUUAAUUUUUUAAUGACUCGUUUGG
This 520-nucleotide unclassified non-coding RNA is filed under the name uncultured Entrophospora. RNAcentral's name for it is "SSU rRNA". It matches the Rfam family "Eukaryotic small subunit ribosomal RNA", at positions 569 to 1083 of the family's 1831-position model. The record is from RNAcentral. Lineage: Eukaryota; Fungi; Glomeromycota; Glomeromycetes; Entrophosporales; Entrophosporaceae.